AGAAGCAUUGAGUCAACCAGGAACAGUUUCCUUUAAGACUGUGCAGCUUUUGAGCAAACCUGGUGCUUGCACGCACAUGGAUUGUGCGCAGCAUCUGCAAUGCUCCUGCCUGCCCCCAUCCAGGCUGGCACCCACGGCCCGGCUGGAGCAGGAUGAGGAGGGACAGACCCCGAUGACCCCACUACAAGGGUGGCUCUGGAACAGCAGAGGAUGUUGUGGGGACAGAUGAAGGCUCUGGUGAUGCCUGGAUGCAGAGAGGAGCGAUGCCUUUGGGGACCAGCUCUCCUAUGUCUUAGAUUUGGGAAAAUAAAUCCCCUUUUCUCCUU
Columba livia (rock pigeon) is the source of this 326-nucleotide long non-coding RNA. RefSeq lists it as uncharacterized. The transcript is spliced from 2 exons. The record is from RefSeq and is a predicted model, not a curated record. NCBI's taxonomy places the organism in Eukaryota, Metazoa, Chordata, Aves, Columbiformes, Columbidae.